GACUGGAUAGCCUAGUGGUAAAGGUAUCACAUUGACAAUGCUGAGGUCCCAGGUUCAAAUCCUGGUCUAGUCA
RNAcentral lists this transfer RNA (73 nucleotides) under Cronartium ribicola 11-2. RNAcentral describes it as "tRNA-Val (GAC) (tRNA-Val-GAC-14-1, tRNA-Val-GAC-14-2)". It matches the Rfam family "tRNA". From Rfam's summary of the family: Transfer RNA (tRNA) molecules are approximately 80 nucleotides in length. Their secondary structure includes four short double-helical elements and three loops (D, anti-codon, and T loops). Further hydrogen bonds mediate the characteristic L-shaped molecular structure. tRNAs have two regions of fundamental functional importance: the anti-codon, which is responsible for specific mRNA codon recognition, and the 3' end, to which the tRNAs corresponding amino acid is attached (by aminoacyl-tRNA synthetases). tRNAs cope with the degeneracy of the genetic code in two manners: having more than one tRNA (with a specific anti-codon) for a particular amino acid; and 'wobble' base-pairing, i.e. permitting non-standard base-pairing at the 3rd anti-codon position. The record is from RNAcentral. Lineage: Eukaryota; Fungi; Basidiomycota; Pucciniomycetes; Pucciniales; Coleosporiaceae.